Molecule: ribosomal RNA, 301 nt
Filed under: uncultured bacterium
Lineage: Bacteria
Description: partial 16S ribosomal RNA
Rfam family: Bacterial small subunit ribosomal RNA
Source: RNAcentral
CAGCAGCCACGGGAAUACGUAGGGCGCAAGCGUUAUCCGGAAUUAUUGGGCGUAAAGAGCUCGUAGGCGGUUUGUCGCGUCUGCCGUGAAAGUCCGGGGCUCAACCCCGGAUCUGCGGUGGGUACGGGCAGACUAGAGUGAUGUAGGGGAGACUGGAAUUCCUGGUGUAGCGGUGAAAUGCGCAGAUAUCAGGAGGAACACCGAUGGCGAAGGCAGGUCUCUGGGCAUUAACUGACGCUGAGGAGCGAAAGCAUGGGGAGCGAACAGGAUUAGAUACCCCCGUAGUCCCUGUCUCUUAUAC